This 460-nucleotide ribosomal RNA is filed under the name uncultured bacterium. RNAcentral's name for it is "partial 16S ribosomal RNA". It matches the Rfam family "Bacterial small subunit ribosomal RNA", at positions 338 to 795 of the family's 1533-position model. The record is from RNAcentral.
CCUACGGGAGGCAGCAGUGAGGAAUAUUGGUCAAUGGACGCGAGUCUGAACCAGCCAAGUAGCGUGAAGGAUGACUGCCCUAUGGGUUGUAAACUUCUUUUAUAUGGGAAUAAACUGUUCCACGUGUGGGAUUUUGUAUGUACCAUAUGAAUAAGGAUCGGCUAACUCCGUGCCAGCAGCCGCGGUAAUACGGAGGAUCCGAGCGUUAUCCGGAUUUAUUGGGUUUAAAGGGUGCGUAGGUGGAUUGUUAAGUCAGUUGUGAAAGUUUGAGGCUCAACCGUAAAAUUGCAGUUGAAACUGGUAGUCUAGAGGACAGUAGAGGUGGGCGGAAUUCGUGGUGUAGCGGUGAAAUGCUUAGAGAUCACGAAGAACUCCGAUUGCGAAGGCAGUUCACUGGACUGCAACUGACACUGAGGCUCGAAAGUGUGGGUAGCAAACAGGAUUAGAUACCCCAGUAGUC